This 72-nucleotide transfer RNA is filed under the name Aedes aegypti (yellow fever mosquito). It matches the Rfam family "tRNA". Rfam says of the family: Transfer RNA (tRNA) molecules are approximately 80 nucleotides in length. Their secondary structure includes four short double-helical elements and three loops (D, anti-codon, and T loops). The record is from Rfam by way of RNAcentral. Lineage: Eukaryota; Metazoa; Arthropoda; Insecta; Diptera; Culicidae.
GGCUCGGUAGCUUAGUUGGAAAAGCACCCGUCUAGCAUACAAGAAUCGUGGGUUUGAAUCCUUCCUGAGCAC